CCUACGGGAGGCUGCAGUGGGGAAUAUUGCACAAUGGGCGAAAGCCUGAUGCAGCGACGCCGCGUGGAGGAUGAAGGCCUUCGGGUCGUAAACUCCUGUCUGGGGGGAUGAACACUGACAGUACCCCCGGAGGAAGCCCCGGCUAACUACGUGCCAGCAGCCGCGGUAAUACGUAGGGGGCGAGCGUUGUCCGGAAUUACUGGGCGUAAAGCGCGCGCAGGCGGCUUGUUAAGUCAGGUGUCAAAAUGCGGGGCUCAACCCCGUAUCGCACUUGAAACUGGCAGGCUUGAGUGCAGGAGAGGGAAGUGGAAUUCCUAGUGUAGCGGUGAAAUGCGUAGAUAUUAGGAGGAACACCAGUGGCGAAGGCGACUUCCUGGACUGUAACUGACGCUCAGGCGCGAAAGCUAGGGGAGCAAACAGGAUUAGAUACCCCUGUAGUC
Molecule: ribosomal RNA, 440 nt
Filed under: uncultured Clostridia bacterium
Lineage: Bacteria; Bacillati; Bacillota; Clostridia
Description: bacterial SSU rRNA
Rfam family: Bacterial small subunit ribosomal RNA
Source: RNAcentral